GCUCCGGCUUCCCUCCAGGCGGCAGCGGAAGGUGGGAGCGACGACUGCAAAACGGCAGCGAUGGGGUGGGUAGGCAGGCCGCUUUCAGCGCGCUUCUAACAAGGUGGAGAGAGGCGCUUCACUUCCCUACCGCCCUUACCGCCGCUCCGUCUUGUCUCCCACCGACUCACAGGGAGGCUUGCUGCUCCUCCGCGGCCGUUACAGAGAGCGGGGCUUCUGCGGCCGCUACCGUUUCCCUGGGGCUAGGUUGCUUCGCAGAAGGCUCUGGCCCUGAGUCCGAGGGGGACUGCGGGGUCCAGGGGCGAUGAAUGCUCCCGCAACCUCCGGAGCUUGUGCGCGUACUUCAGGGACCGGCACCACGUCACCGUCACCUCCUGAGUAGUGAGUUCCCCUCUGAUGAAACCACUGAGGACUUGCUGAGCUCCUGGAGCUAUAUGAGUAGAGGAAAGAGAAUUUGCAAGAGAUGAUAGACUAACAGAGGCCAGGACAGCAAGAAAGUGGUCUUCAUGCCCAUCAUUUAGUGUGUCAAGAAUAACGGAGAUUCCCAUGGAUGGUAUGAACACCAGGGAAAGUAGUCUGAAAAUUCAAAAGAGAAGCAAUUUAAAGGACUUCCAUUUACUUCUUUCCCCUCUAAUCUGCACAAAAGGUUAAAUGUAGCAGUGCAGCAGUUCUGGCCAUCAAAAUAUGAUUAUUGUACUUUAAAAGCAGCCAUGAGAACUCUGCUCUUUGAUAGACUUCAACUUGCAACAACUAAGGAAUAAUCCAGUUCCAGAGGAGAUUAGGAGUUGGGUGAGAGGAUAGACUCUAAUCUUAGAGAAAUAAGUAGUUUUUAUGGAACAGGUGGUGUUUGGUUAUGUGGAUAGGUUUUUUGGAAUACUACUCAGCCAUAAAACGGAACAAAAUAAUGGAAUUCCCAGCAACCUGGAUGGAGUCGGAGACCAUUAUUCUAAGUGAAGUAACUCAGUGAGAACAAAUAUCGUAUGUUCUCACUUAUAAGUGGGAGCUCUUAAAAGUGGGAGCUAAGCUAUGAGGACACAAAGGAACUUAGUUAUUACCAGGAACAGAUGACCAGUUGCAAGAACUGUCACUAUUUUAACAUUCUCCAUCAGCUGUGGCCAUGUUGGAUUUCUGGCACCUGAGCAUUCACAUCCAUCUGUUUAUAGGGCAUUAUGCCCACUCAUGAGGUUUAUUCCAGUUUCAAAAAGUCAUGUGUAAACCAAGAUUGGAAAUAUAUAUUCCUUGAGAAAUAGAGACACAGACACACAAGGGAGAGUGCCAUAUGAAAAUGGAGGCAGAAUGGAGUGAUGCAUCUACAAGCCAAGGAACACCAAAAAUUGCCAGCAACUACUAGAAGCUAGAAGAGGCAAGAAAGGACUUUCUAGAGCCUUUGGAAAGCAUGAUUCUGCCACAUCUUGAUUUUGGACUUCCAGCCUCUAGAACUGUGAGAGAGUAAGUUUCCAUUGUUUUAAACCACCCAAUUUGUAUUAAUUUGUUAUAGAAGCCCUGGGAAACAAAUAAACUACUUUAGAUCAGUUAGGAAGGCUUCUUGAACUAUAUGACAUUUAAACAGAGACAUAAAUGAUGAGACUGUCCCAGCCAAGUUAAAAAUAUCACUGGGAAUCAAACUCACUGGUGUUAUUCCAGCUCAGUGGUAAAUGUUCUACUGGUAUUUUAAAUAAUUCUAAAAUAAAGUCAUUAUUUUUCUUUGCAC
Long non-coding RNA from Homo sapiens (human), 1711 nucleotides. Ensembl annotates it as progenitor renewal associated non-coding RNA. Its record names the gene PRANCR. The record is from Ensembl. Lineage: Eukaryota; Metazoa; Chordata; Mammalia; Primates; Hominidae.